CUCUGAGCAAUUGUCAUCCACAGGGAAAUGGAUAGAUGAAGGUGAUAGGGAGCCGAUUCUGGGCUCCUCGACACCAGCAAGUAAAAAUAACCCUUCCCCGCAUAAUAUGAAAGCAGAAGUUAAGAAACUGAUGGUAAAAGCUCUUGGACAGUUUGAUUCAAACUUGAGUGAUAAAUGGACAAUUUAGAAGAAAAUC
RNAcentral lists this long non-coding RNA (196 nucleotides) under Macaca mulatta (Rhesus monkey). RNAcentral's name for it is "lncRNA (ENSMMUG00000052799.1)". Lineage: Eukaryota; Metazoa; Chordata; Mammalia; Primates; Cercopithecidae. The record is from RNAcentral.